Molecule: ribosomal RNA, 253 nt
Filed under: uncultured bacterium
Lineage: Bacteria
Description: partial 16S ribosomal RNA
Rfam family: Bacterial small subunit ribosomal RNA
Source: RNAcentral
GACAGAGGGUGCAAACGUUGUUCGGAAUUACUGGGCGUAAAGCGAGUGUAGGCGGUUCGGUAAGUCGGAUGUGAAAGCCCCGGGCUCAACCCGGGAAGUGCACUCGAUACUGCCGAGCUAGAGUCCCGGAGAGGAAGGCAGAAUUCCCGGUGUAGGGGUGAAAUCCGUAGAUAUCGGGAGGAAUACCAGCGGCGAAGGCGGCCUUCUGGACGGUGACUGACGCUGAGACGCGGAAGCGUGGGGAGCAAACAGG